AUGCUUUAGCAGCACACAUACUACAAUUGGAAUUAUACAGAGAAGAUUAGCAUGGCCCCAGCACAAGGAUAGAGCACAAAUUCAUGAAGCGUUCCAUAUUAGA
Protopterus annectens (West African lungfish) is the source of this 103-nucleotide small nuclear RNA. NCBI's taxonomy places the organism in Eukaryota, Metazoa, Chordata, Ceratodontiformes, Protopteridae. The record is from RefSeq and is a predicted model, not a curated record.